RNAcentral lists this long non-coding RNA (1150 nucleotides) under Medicago truncatula (barrel medic). RNAcentral's name for it is "lncRNA gene47944". Lineage: Eukaryota; Viridiplantae; Streptophyta; Magnoliopsida; Fabales; Fabaceae. The record is from RNAcentral.
UGCUAAAAUGUGAUUAUUAUAUUUUCAUAUUUUUAGGGUAGAAAAUACUUAUGCAGAUCUGUAGGAUAAUUUUGGCAUUUCAAACCUAGAAUUUGUCUAAUGUAAUCUAAUCCCGCCAUUUAUUUUUGAGAAUAUUUAUAGAGGUAGGAAUCUCCUUUCUAAUUUUUUUUACUAUCAUAAGUUUAGUUUAUGCCCCCAUGUUUUGUAUUUUCUAUUUUAUUUUUAGGGUUAAUUGUUGAAAUAGCUCCUAUAAUAUACACAAAGUCUGGAGAUACGCCUCAAUAAAAACACAGAUUCCACUUUGUAUUUCAAGAUUAUUUUCAUCUUAAUCCUCCAAUAGCCCAAUCGCACAUGAGGCGCUAAUACGAAAGGGACAUAGAUGUCGUAUUUUUUUAAUGCUUUUUUACAGGUAGGUAUGUAUACGACAUUAAUAUAAGGCCUCCUACCUAAAAUUAGAAUUUUCCGACAAAGAACAAAUUGAUUAUCAAUUUCUAAAGCGUCAAAAACCAAAACAACGAAAACCUUAACUUUAAAAUCAUAAUUUUAGCGGGUUUUUUUUGGUGAUACCUAUAUAAAAAUACAUAGAAAUGAUCAGCCAAGUUUCAUAAAAUUCCAAAGACGCCUCUAUUGGUAUUUUUCUCUUGUUUUUCAUUAAGGCUAAUAAAGAAAUACAAAUAAUAAUGAAAGGUUUAUAAAAAAAAAUGGAUUACCUCUUAUUACGAACCAGAUUUGUACGUGAUAAUUUCAACUGACCACUUCAGUGAGACAAAAGGACAAGAAUAUAUAAUAAUAUUUUUUGUUUUACAAAUGGUUUCUUUUAACAAGUGAUAUGGGGAAGGUCAUAUCAGUUCACAGUGUCCUGAGCCGAAGAAGACUAGAAUUGGUGGAAAGGUGUUUGCUCUGACUGGUACACAGACUCCUAAUGAGGACCGACUUAUCAGAGGUGAUCCUGAGUAGUCGGUGGUGGCUCAAGAGUCGUGUCUAGGGCUCUGAUACGUGGGUUGGGAGUCAUUUUAUUAUUUCAUUGUUGUUUCCCUUCCAUGUAUCAAAUUUUGGAACUUGUUGAUGUGCCCUUUCAUUGGCUAACUUUUGUUGUUUAGGCUUAAUGCCAAGAUGUUGUUGGAGAUUAAAACAUUGUUGUUGCUAUUGA